AAUGGGCGAAAGCCUGACGCAGCAACGCCGCGUGCGGGAUGAAGGCCUUCGGGUUGUAAACCGCUUUCAGCAGGGACGAAAAUGACUGUACCUGCAGAAGAAGCCCCGGCUAACUACGUGCCAGCAGCCGCGGUAAUACGUAGGGGGCAAGCGUUAUCCGGAUUUAUUGGGCGUAAAGCGCGUGUAGGCGGCUUGUUAAGUCAGAUGUGAAAACCGGGGGCUCAACCCGCGGCCUGCAUCUGAAACUGGCAGGCUUGAGUCUGGUAGAGGAAAGUGGAAUUCCUAGUGUAGCGGUGAAAUGCGCAGAUAUUAGGAGGAACACCAGUGGCGAAGGCGGCUUUCUGGGCCACGACUGACGCUGAGACGCGAAAGCUAGGGGAGCGAA
Molecule: ribosomal RNA, 385 nt
Filed under: uncultured bacterium
Lineage: Bacteria
Description: bacterial SSU rRNA
Rfam family: Bacterial small subunit ribosomal RNA
Source: RNAcentral